CCAACUUUCUCUCAUGUAGUGUGAUGAGUGUAAUGCAUCAGCCUAGAGCUCCCCGUGUGUUUGGAUCCUGCAAUAACAGCGGUUUGGGGCGUGCGCACACCAAGCCAGCUGUAGGACCGGGUGGAAGCGAGAUGAGAAUACUAAACAGGCACCUCAUGGCUCAGCAUCAGCACCGGGCUGAGUUAGGAUUUGCGCACCCUCCAAACUUGGCUUGGGACCUCAGCAUGUGAACGGGCUUUGCAGGAGGAGGAUCCACCUAGAAUGUCAGCUCUGAAGAAGGUGUUGCCAGGCAUACUGCAGAAGCAUUGCUGUAUCUUACCAGACAGGAACACAGGUGUGAAGAGGUUGCUGAUGAAAUUGAAGAGCAGGGAGAUAUACUCAGGUACCUGGCUGCAGUCCU
Molecule: long non-coding RNA, 400 nt
Organism: Lates calcarifer (barramundi perch)
Lineage: Eukaryota; Metazoa; Chordata; Actinopteri; Centropomidae
Exons: 3
Source: RefSeq, a predicted model, not a curated record